This 468-nucleotide ribosomal RNA is filed under the name uncultured bacterium. RNAcentral describes it as "partial 16S ribosomal RNA". It matches the Rfam family "Bacterial small subunit ribosomal RNA", at positions 28 to 507 of the family's 1533-position model. The record is from RNAcentral.
GACGAACGCUGGCGGCGGGCCUAACACAUGCAAGUCGAACGGAAAGGCCCUGCUUUCGUGGGGUGUCCGAGGGGGGAACGGGGGAGUAACACGUGAGUAUCCCGCCCUGGACUUUGGGAUAACUUCAGGAAAGUGGGGCUAAUACCGGAUAGGAGCUGCUGCUGCAGGGGGGGGGUUGGAAAGUUUCGGCGGAUGGGGAUGGAUUCGCGGCUUACCAGCUUGUUGGUUGGGGGGUGGCCUACCAAGCCUUUGGCGGGUAGCCGGCCAGGGAGGGUGGCCGCCCUCCUUGCGCCUGCGGUACGGCCCAGACUCCUACGGGGGGCAGCGGUGGGGAGUAUUGCCCAGUGGGCCGACGCGUGUUGCGGCGACGCCGCGUGCGGGAUGACGGCCUUCGGGUUGUAAACCGCUUUCGCCUGUGACGAAGCUUGAGUGACGGUACUGGGUGAAUGAGCACCGGCUAACUUCGUG